AAGUGGCGAAAGGGGCAGUAAGGCAUGGAUAACCUACCUCGGGGAUCGGGAUAGCCUUCCUAACGGAAGGGUAAUACCGGGCGAGCUAACGAAGGGGCAUCUCUUUGUUAGGAAAUGAAUUUCGCCUUGAGAGGGGUUCAUGUAGUAUUAGCUUGUUGGUGGGGUAACGGCUCACCAAGGCCAAGAUGCUUAGCGGGUGUGAGAGCACGACCCGCGCCACUGGCACUGAGACACUGGCCAGACUCCUACGGGAGGCUGCAGUCGAGGAUCUUCGGCAAUGGGCGCAAGCCUGACCGAGCGACGCCGCGUGUGCGAUGAAGGCCUUCGGGUUGUAAAGCACUGUCGAGGGGGAGAAAAGCCCGCAAGGGUCUGAUCUAUCCCUGGAGGAAGCACGGGCUAAGUUCGUG
Molecule: ribosomal RNA, 407 nt
Filed under: uncultured bacterium
Lineage: Bacteria
Description: bacterial SSU rRNA
Rfam family: Bacterial small subunit ribosomal RNA
Source: RNAcentral